This 897-nucleotide ribosomal RNA is filed under the name Aspergillus niger. Its description in RNAcentral is "partial large subunit ribosomal RNA". It matches the Rfam family "Eukaryotic large subunit ribosomal RNA", at positions 40 to 948 of the family's 3401-position model. The record is from RNAcentral. Lineage: Eukaryota; Fungi; Ascomycota; Eurotiomycetes; Eurotiales; Aspergillaceae.
AUAUCAAUAAGCGGAGGAAAAGAAACCCAACCGGGGAUUGCCUUCAGUAACGGCGAGUGAAGCGGCAAGAGCUCAAAUUUGAAAGCUGGCUCCUUCGGAGUCCGCAUUGUAAUUUGCAGAGGAUGCUUUGGGUGCGGCCCCCGUCUAAGUGCCCUGGAACGGGCCGUCAGAGAGGGUGAGAAUCCCGUCUUGGGCGGGGUGUCCGUGCCCGUGUAAAGCUCCUUCGACGAGUCGAGUUGUUUGGGAAUGCAGCUCUAAAUGGGUGGUAAAUUUCAUCUAAAGCUAAAUACUGGCCGGAGACCGAUAGCGCACAAGUAGAGUGAUCGAAAGAUGAAAAGCACUUUGAAAAGAGAGUUAAACAGCACGUGAAAUUGUUGAAAGGGAAGCGCUUGCGACCAGACUCGCCCGCGGGGUUCAGCCGGCAUUCGUGCCGGUGUACUUCCCCGUGGGCGGGCCAGCGUCGGUUUGGGCGGCCGGUCAAAGGCCCCUGGAAUGUAGUACCCUCCGGGGUACCUUAUAGCCAGGGGUGCAAUGCGGCCAGCCUGGACCGAGGAACGCGCUUCGGCACGGACGCUGGCAUAAUGGUCGUAAACGACCCGUCUUGAAACACGGACCAAGGAGUCUAACAUCUACGCGAGUGUUCGGGUGUCAAACCCGUGCGCGCAGUGAAAGCGAACGGAGGUGGGAGCCCCCUCGCGGGGCGCACCAUCGACCGAUCCUGAUGUCUUCGGAUGGAUUUGAGUAAGAGCGUAAAUGUGGGGACCCGAAAGAUGGUGAACUAUGCCUGAAUAGGGCGAAGCCAGAGGAAACUCUGGUGGAGGCUCGCAGCGGUUCUGACGUGCAAAUCGAUCGUCAAAUUUGGGUAUAGGGGGCGAAAGACUAAUCGAACCAUCUAGU